RNAcentral lists this ribosomal RNA (499 nucleotides) under uncultured Bacillota bacterium. Its description in RNAcentral is "bacterial SSU rRNA". It matches the Rfam family "Bacterial small subunit ribosomal RNA", at positions 378 to 896 of the family's 1533-position model. Lineage: Bacteria; Bacillati; Bacillota. The record is from RNAcentral.
AAACCCUGAUGCAGCAACGCCGCGUGAGCGAUGAAGGCCUUCGGGUUGUAAAGCUCUGUCUUCAGGGACGAUAAUGACGGUACCUGAGGAGGAAGCCGCGGCUAACUACGUGCCAGCAGCCGCGGUAAUACGUAGGUGGCAAGCGUUGUCCGGAAUUAUUGGGCGUAAAGGAUGUGUAGGCGGCUUUUUAAGUGGGAUGUGAAAUCCCUGGGCUCAACCCAGGAUCUGCAUUCCAAACUGGAAAGCUAGAGUGCAGGAGAGGAAAGUGGAAUUCCCAGUGUAGCGGUGAAAUGCGUAGAGAUUGGGAGGAACACCAGUGGCGAAGGCGACUUUCUGGACUGUAACUGACGCUGAGGCAUGAAAGCGUGGGGAGCAAACAGGAUUAGAUACCCUGGUAGUCCACGCUGUAAACGAUGAGUACUAGGUGUAGGCCCCUCCAGGGUCUGUGCCGCAGUUAACACAUUAAGUACUCCGCCUGGGAAGUACGGUCGCAAGACUA